Hyposmocoma kahamanoa is the source of this 259-nucleotide long non-coding RNA. RefSeq lists it as uncharacterized. The transcript is spliced from 3 exons. Lineage: Eukaryota; Metazoa; Arthropoda; Insecta; Lepidoptera; Cosmopterigidae. The record is from RefSeq and is a predicted model, not a curated record.
GAAGCCAGUGCGUCGCGAAGCGCUCCUGCGCGGGUGAGAGCGCCCUCAGUGGGCGUUCCUGGACGAGGGAGCGCGUGCGCAACAUCUGCGCGUGCAACACUCGACGCUCGCGCUGCAGUUCACCGUACCGUGUGCGAAGCCAGCUUAACUCCAAUUGGCGCAUUUGCUACAUCAACAUUGUUCAGUUAGUCGCGUGUUUAUAAGAAGAAUUUUCUCAUUUGUAAUCCGACUAUAGAAGAAGAGUGAACUUUUUAUGAAG